CGCAAGCCUGACGGAGCAACGCCGCGUGAGGGAGGAAGGCCUGUGGGUUGUAAACCUCUUUUCUCAGGGAAGAAGAACUGACGGUACCUGAGGAAUCAGCAUCGGCUAACUCCGUGCCAGCAGCCGCGGUAAGACGGAGGAUGCAAGCGUUAUCCGGAAUUAUUGGGCGUAAAGCGUCCGUAGGCGGUUUUUCAAGUCUGCCGUUAAAGACUACAGCUUAACUGUGGGCCGGCGGUGGAAACUGAGGAACUUGAGUAUGGUAGGGGUAGAGGGAAUUCCCAGUGUAGCGGUGAAAUGCGUAGAUAUUGGGAAGAACACCAGUGGCGAAGGCGCUCUGCUGGGCCAUAACUGACGCUGAGGGACGAAAGCUAGGGGAGCG
This 379-nucleotide ribosomal RNA is filed under the name uncultured cyanobacterium. Its description in RNAcentral is "bacterial SSU rRNA". It matches the Rfam family "Bacterial small subunit ribosomal RNA", at positions 376 to 770 of the family's 1533-position model. Lineage: Bacteria; Bacillati; Cyanobacteriota. The record is from RNAcentral.